UUGCCAGCCGCCGCGGUAAUACGGAGGGUGCGAGCGUUAAUCGGAAUUACUGGGCGUAAAGGGCGCGUAGGCGGUCGCGCAAGUCGGGUGUGAAAGCCCCGGGCUCAACCUGGGAAUUGCAUUCGAUACUGCGUAACUAGAGUCUGGUAGAGGGAAGCGGAAUUCCGCAUGUAGCGGUGAAAUGCGUAGAUAUGCGGAGGAACACCAGUGGCGAAGGCGGCUUCCUGGACCAAGACUGACGCUGAGGCGCGAAAGCGUGGGGAGCAAACAGGAUUAGAUACCCUGGUAGUCCACGCCCUAAACGAUGAGGACUAGACGUUGGGGGGAUAAAACCCUUUAGUGUCGCAGCUAACGCGUGAAGUCCUCCGCCUGGGGAGUACGGCCGCAAGGUUGAAACUUAAAUGAAUUGACGG
Molecule: ribosomal RNA, 413 nt
Filed under: uncultured bacterium
Lineage: Bacteria
Description: bacterial SSU rRNA
Rfam family: Bacterial small subunit ribosomal RNA
Source: RNAcentral